Long non-coding RNA from Cercocebus atys (sooty mangabey), 5067 nucleotides. RefSeq lists it as uncharacterized. NCBI's taxonomy places the organism in Eukaryota, Metazoa, Chordata, Mammalia, Primates, Cercopithecidae. The record is from RefSeq and is a predicted model, not a curated record. The transcript is spliced from 2 exons.
GUGGCAGGAAGGUGCAAUGAGUGCCCAGCUGGGGAGCAGCCGGAGUUAUUUCUAUGGGAGGGAGGGGGCCUGGUCCCCGCCUUGGGGAGGAGUCCCAGGAACCCUAAUUAGCAGGGUGACAGGGUGGCCUAGCUGGGCAUUACUGAGUCCUCACCCAAGCUCUUCCCUGUCCUAAGAGUGGCACAGGAUAGCCAGCGGGACUUGUAAUUAGGCACCUGUUAAACUUCACUUCCUCCUGGCCACAUCCUCAGAGUGACAACAGUCACCUCAUUUACAGCUUCCAAGGGCUCCCCUCACCACUCAUUUGCUGCCUCCUUCCCUGGGGGAAGUGGGGAAGAGGAAGGAGAAGCCAGGCUUGGGAGGAAGAGUGGCCAGGCUCUGAAGAGUUAAUCCUGAUCCCAGGGCAUAGGGUUCCCCAGGAAUGUCCAGCCCACCUUCCCCCGAGGCUUCAGGUCUUUCAAAUGGAGUCAGGCCUCCUGAGCUGAAAGAGGAGAGAAGGGGUAUGUGCAGGAACAGAGUCUCCUCCUAGCUGUCCCCUCUGGAAAUGUCCUCCGCACCCAUACCUGACUCAAGGCCAUCCCCAAGUGUAGGGGACCCCUGGGAGCAGGGGUGCUAUGGGGGAUUCAGGGUGUGUGGUAGGAGUAAGGUGACUGAUGAGCUAGUGAGGGAGUGUUGGAGAGAACAGUGCCAAGAGGACCGGGGAAGGGGGUGCCAGUGUAGGCGUGUGCACCCCUCAGCAAUGUGUCUGUGGGAGGGAGGCAGGAUGUCCGUGCCAGGGUGUCUCUGUGAGCAUGGCUAAGCCCCUCUGAGUGAACUUCUUGAGGGAUCGCUUGGUGUCUUGGCUUCUCUGCCCAGAAAGAGUGGCCAGGUCUUGAGGGUUAAUGCAAUCCUAGUAUUAACUGGGUCCUUGAGACCAAGGACCCUCACAACCUGGACUGGUCAUCGGGCUGACUAAACCAGCACAGUUCUGGGUAGGUUGGCGCUGGGGUGGGGAGGGUCCUGGUAGGCAUGGGGAGCAAGGGGAGGGCCGCCCUUGUUGGCUUGUCUGAGGGGGACUGAAUGGGCCUGUGCCUCACUGGACUCCAUGGUAGGAGUCAGGACAUGAGUGAUCCCAUUCAAUAGCUUGACUCCCUCAAAGGAGUCAGGGACUGCCCCCAUCCCUACCAUGGGGCACAGAAAGGGCAGAGGAGGAAGAGUGUUGGGGAGAGUUAUGGGGCUCAGGGAUGCUGCCAGGGCCCAUCCCUCUGAGGAAAAAUAAGACAGAACAUUAAGGAAACACAAGGAGUCCACGCGUCUCUGCAUUCCAAGCCCUUGCACCUGAACUCCCAACAAUAACAGGGCACUCUGAGACCUACCAGAUGUACGCAAUGAAUAUCUUCAUUUCCUUAUAUAUUUUUAGGUUUAUGGGAUUGUCCUCCUCCCUUUGAAGAGCAGGGAUCAUUAUCCCCAUUUUACAGAUAGGGAAACAGAGGCCUGAGAAACAUGGGGAUUCAGCCAAUGCGGCUGGUGCCUAAGCUGGGAUACCCAGGUACCCAGGGUGUCAGUCCAGAGUGUCCAAAAAAUGGUCUUGGUGAUCCUGUGGAUUACUAGACCCACUCACAAACAAGAACCAUGGAAGGUCAGGGUGAGUGGGAGGGAAAACAGGUGAGACCAUGAACAGAGAGAUUGAGGAGAAAGCAGUAAGGUUGUGGUUCCACUAAACUACAGUGCAGGCUUGGGAUUUAAUUGGGUUCUGGAUGUGGGCUAAUGUUAGAAUUGGGGUUAAGUUUGGGGUUAGUUGAAUUAUGAAUGAGGUUGAGGUCAGAUUUGAGGUUGGGAUUAGAGUUAAGGUUGGGAUUAAGGUUAGAAAUACAGCUAGAAUUGAGGCUCGGGUUUAUGGCUGGGGUUGUGUUACGAUGAGGAAUAGAGUUUUAGUUUCAUUUAGAGCUCUGCCUGGGAAUACAGUUAGGGCUACAUCAAAGGCUGGGUUUAGAUUUAUUUAGGAUUGGGGUUAUAAUUGGGUUAAAACUGAGUUUGAGAUUCAUGUUGAAAUAGGCUGUGGUUAGGAUUGGAACAUGGUUUAAAGACACGUAAGCAGUGGGAGUUGGUAGGGAUCAAAGAUGAGGUUUUAUUUCUAAUAUAGAAAGACUUCAGCCUCCAUCUGCUAAAUCCAGGUUUGGCUAGAAUUUUCAACCCUUAGUGCAGGGAGACUACUAGUAGCACAUGUUGAUUAGGGUCCCAAGACUUGGAGGAGGAAGCCAAACGUACACAAGCCCAUCUAAGGGGUAUGAGGCAACUAAAUCCCAUACAGAAUGGACCCUCUGAAGUCCUGCUCCACUACUAAAGCUCACCACCUGGCCAAGCUCCAGGAAAAGCAUAUGGGGAGGGGACGUGGGAAGCUAUUGACAAUGAGUGGGGCUCUGACACCAAACCGGACUAGAAGAUGGGGUCCAUCAGAGGGAGUCUUACUGAGUGGGGAGGAAGGGUGGUCUGGAUUUGGAGUCCUCAGGAGAUGGGACUUGGGAGAAACUGAGGGUCUACAUGCUCCUAGAACAGCCACUUUACGGGGCACCACAUGGGGAUCUUUCAAAGCCUGAAAGGGCAGAGUGCCAUUGUUGUUCCCCCUUGACUCUCUGAGGCUUAAUUGCUACCUCCUUGCAAUUUGAGUCCUGUAAAAGAAGCUGUCAGCCUUCUAGCCCUAUACCCUGAGCCCUGCAGGGUUUUCGGGGAGGGCAGUGGUGGGGAGGCUGUGGAUGGGGUGAAGGCACUGGGAUGUCAACAUAGUUUCCAAAGCAUAUGUCGCAGCCCCACAGUCCCCUCCCUCUGUGAGAACACCAGCUCGCAGUCUGUGUUUCUCUCUGGGCCGUAUCCUCAGCAGUGGAAGAGGCCCCACUCCUAGGAAGAUCCCUAUCCCAACUCCUCCCUCUCAUUUUUCCCCAGCCAGUCUCCACCCCAAACCUCUCAUUUCCCCACCCACUUCCUUUUCAAGUUUUAUAAAGGUCUGGUCGAGGAGACUACUGGGGUUCCCCCUGUGACCCCAGAGAGAGAGAAGAAAGAGAUUGGGAGAGAUAGUGAUGAGUUAAGGGGCAAAGACAGAGACUGGGACAGAGACAGACAGAAAGACACAUGGUCUAAAUGGCCCCUCCGGAGACUCAGAGGGAGACAGAGGAGGCAGAGCGCCCAGGCCACGAGCUGGGAACCAACACAAAUUUCCGAAAGGGCCCCUUGCUUUUUCCUGAGAAAUCCAUGACUCUCCAGGGAAGAAUGGCCCUGGUUUGACUGGUAUUUGCUUCUAUUCUAAGACAAUAAUAGAAAAUCAAAGAUGGGCCUAGAAAGGAGUAAACAGGGAGAUACAGGAGGUAGGAAGAGGCUGGACAAAGUCUCAGAGAAGGCCACAGACUGCUUCCAGUAUGAAGUGCAGCCCAGCCCCAGAACCUUUCAGGGAAGGACAGGCAGAGGGCUUAGGCUGCCUACUCUUCCUCCAAAGCCUAUUCUUCCUCCAAAGUCCCUUUCACAGCAACUCCACCCCAGCCCUCUAAGCCCUGCCCUUCCCUGCCUGGACUUGCCCACCCCAACCCCUCUCACUAGCCGCCAGACUCCCUGGGCUCAGGCUCAAUCAAGCUCCCCACAACCCCUGCCUUGGCUGGCACUGCAAUUUGACUCUUUCUAAACUCCUCCCUACACAGUCAGCAAGCUCCUCAGCCCCCUCUCUCAAGUCCCCAUGUAGUGCUGGGCUCACCCUGCAGCACCCAGGGAGGAGUUGUCCUGCAGAGGAAACCUCUGAGGUAAGACUCUGGGAGCAGAAGCUGUGAGUGACAAUGGAUAGGCAAAGAGUCACAGAGAAGCCAAGAAGCCUUGCAGCUGCUGUCUGUCCACCCAGCUUUCAGUGACGAUUUGGAGGUGGAGGUCUGCCAGGUGAGGCCAUGGUUGCAUGAGAAGGGCAGGGGGCUCAGAGGUUGCAUGGGUGGUGAUGGGACAAUAUCGGGUUCUGGUUACAGAGAGGGAUGAGAUCGACAUGUGGGGUUAAGUUUGAGGGUGUGGGUUGGGUUCGAGACUAAGGCUCAGAUCAAAGCUGGCAGGGAAGAGCUGUGAACACAGGUGACACAGGGACGCCCCAAGCCCCUGCUUAGGUUUCCCAAACCUCAAUGCUUCUGACUGGUACACUUCAAAAGAAGUAGGAUUCUAGGAGGAGCCUGGAUAUGCCCACAUCUCUCCCAUCAAGCAAUGUCCUGAAGCUGACAGACUCAGAAGAGCAAGCAGCACACACAUAGUCCUCAUCAAUUAAAGGAGUGGCCAGAGCUGUCACUACAUCAACAAAGCACAAGAGCAAAGGGAGGCAAUUGAAUGCCACCAACUGAACUGUUAGCAAGAGAAUGAGUGGAGGCAAGAAGAAAUCGCUUGUAAAGGGUAUGUGAUUUCCUGAUGACAGAUCUGAGGAAGAAUGAAGAGACUUUGCAGAUAAAGGUAUCUUCACCUCGCCAAGAUCAACUACAUCCUGCAGAACCUUCAUUCAUUCAGCAAACAGCUGGGCUUUAUGCUAGGCCCUGGGGAAAUGGCAAUUAAGGAGACUCAGUCUCUAUCCUUACAGAGCAUCCCAUCUGAUAGGGAAAUAGCUCCUGGCCUGCAAUGUGGUAAGCUGCAGUAAUACGUGCAAGGACCCUGACCUAGUGGCAAUGAUGUUUGAGCCGAGAUCUGAAGGAUAACUAACAACAGCGUGCCAGAGAAAGGAGUAGGGGGUGGAGAGAAGUGGCCAGGGGAAUAUUGCUGGGCUUGGUAAGUAAGCCAGGUCCCUGCUAGACAUGGCCUGAGAAGAGCAAAGCCAGGAGUGAUAGCUGAUGAUUAUUUUUUAACUGAGGAAAGAAGAUCCUUGAGAACAGAACCCCUUGGGACCUUCUACCCAGAACACCAGAGCACCUCACAGGGAUCAGAGCCAGGCCCUCAGGUGGAUUAAGCAACUAAAAUUGAUUGUCCUGAACCAUGAGUCUGUCUGUUUAUGGGGAAAGAAACUUUGUGAUGAAUUAAUCCACAGGUCCAAUGGGACUUUGACCUUUUAAUUUGUAGAAAUAAAACUUGCCUUUGAUUUUGCCA